AGUUUGAUCCUGGCUCAGAGUGAACCGCUGGCGGUAGGCCUAACACAUGCAAGUCGAACGGCAGCACAGGAGAGCUUGCUCUCUGGGUGGCGAGUGGCGGACGGGUGAGGAAUACAUCGGAAUCUACUUUUUCGUGGGGGAUAACGUAGGGAAACUUACGCUAAUACCGCAUACGACCUACGGGUGAAAGCAGGGGAUCUUCGGACCUUGCGCGAUUGAAUGAGCCGAUGUCGGAUUAGCUAGUUGGCGGGGUAAAGGCCCACCAAGGCGACGAUCCGUAGCUGGUCUGGGAGGAUGAUCAGCCACACUGGAACUGAGACACGGUCCAGACUCCUACGGGAGGCAGCAGUGGGGAAUAUUGGACAAUGGGCGCAAGCCUGAUCCAGCCAUACCGCGU
This 397-nucleotide ribosomal RNA is filed under the name uncultured bacterium. RNAcentral describes it as "bacterial SSU rRNA". It matches the Rfam family "Bacterial small subunit ribosomal RNA", at positions 10 to 402 of the family's 1533-position model. The record is from RNAcentral.